Molecule: ribosomal RNA, 301 nt
Filed under: uncultured bacterium
Lineage: Bacteria
Description: partial 16S ribosomal RNA
Rfam family: Bacterial small subunit ribosomal RNA
Source: RNAcentral
CAGCCGCCGCGGUAAAACGAAGGGGGCUAGCGUUGCUCGGAAUGACUGGGCGUAAAGGGCGCGUAGGCGGCGGCCAAAGUCAGGCGUGAAAUUCCCGGGCUCAACCUGGGGGCUGCGUUUGAUACUUGGUUGCUUGAGUGGGGAAGAGGGUCGUGGAAUUCCCAGUGUAGAGGUGAAAUUCGUAGAUAUUGGGAAGAACACCGGUGGCGAAGGCGGCGACCUGGUUCAUAACUGACGCUGAGGCGCGAAAGCGUGGGGAGCAAACAGGAUUAGAUACCCGUGUAGUCCCUGUCUCUUAUAC